GACGAACGCUGGCGGCGUGCCUAAUACAUGCAAGUAGAACGCACAGUUUAUACCGUAGCUUGCUACACCAUAGACUGUGAGUUGCGAACGGGUGAGUAACGCGUAGGUAACCUGCCUGGUAGCGGGGGAUAACUAUUGGAAACGAUAGCUAAUACCGCAUAAUAUUGAUUAUUGCAUGAUAAUUAAUUGAAAGGUGCAAUUGCACCACUACCAGAUGGACCUGCGUUGUAUUAGCUAGUAGGUGAGGUAACGGCUCACCUAGGCGACGAUACAUAGCCGACCGGAGAGGGGGAUCGGCCACACGGGGACUGAGACACGGCCCAGACCCCUACGGGAGGCAGCAGUAGGGAAUCUUCGGCAAGGGACGAAAGUCUGACCGAGCAACGCCGCGUGAGGGAAGAAGGGUUUCGGAUCGUAAAGCUCGGUUGUAAGAGAAGAACGGGUGUGAGAGUGGAAAGUUCACACUGUGACGGUAUCUUACCAGAAAGGGACGGCUAACUACGUG
This 505-nucleotide ribosomal RNA is filed under the name uncultured bacterium. RNAcentral's name for it is "partial 16S ribosomal RNA". It matches the Rfam family "Bacterial small subunit ribosomal RNA", at positions 28 to 507 of the family's 1533-position model. The record is from RNAcentral.